UACGGAGGAUGCAAGCGUUAUCCGGAAUGACUGGGCGUAAAGCGUCCGCAGGUGGCAUUUCAAGUCUGCUGUUAAAUACUAGGGCUUAACCCUGGAGCGGCAGUGGAGACUGAAGAGCUAGAGUUCGGUAGGGGUGGAGGGAAUUCCCGGUGUAGCGGUGAAAUGCGUAGAGAUUGGGAAGAACACCGGUGGCGAAAGCGCUCUGCUGGGCCGAAACUGACACUCAUGGACGAAAGCUAGGGGAGCGAAUGGG
RNAcentral lists this ribosomal RNA (253 nucleotides) under uncultured bacterium. Its description in RNAcentral is "partial 16S ribosomal RNA". It matches the Rfam family "Bacterial small subunit ribosomal RNA", at positions 524 to 776 of the family's 1533-position model. The record is from RNAcentral.